AUGAAGGAUUGAGAUUGUCUCAAGACUUGGAAUAGUAUUCCUGCUGUUGCCUGCCAUUUUGGGAGGGGAGGCUGUCCUUCUCUUUACUGAUCAUGUCGAAAACCAGUGUUUAGAUGGAUUGUACAGGUCACUUACAUGAUCUUUCUUCCAAAUCUACUGUCUGGAGCAGAUAAUUCCAUUUGGAUUCACUUAUUUAUUUGCCUGCGCUACACAACAAUCAUUGUGCAACUGAAAUUUUCAGAUGCUAUUGCUGCUGCAAGGGAUGAGUACAAAACAGUGUCAAGUAUCUUCUGACCUUUUUUGUGUGCUUCCAAACUGUUCAAUCUACUGAAGAACAUGACUCUCACAGUCUCAUAAAUAAUCUGAGUCAUGGUGAAUGCAC
This 382-nucleotide long non-coding RNA is filed under the name Musa acuminata (dwarf banana). RNAcentral's name for it is "long non-coding RNA (MACU_LNC000095)". The record is from RNAcentral. Lineage: Eukaryota; Viridiplantae; Streptophyta; Magnoliopsida; Zingiberales; Musaceae.